Molecule: ribosomal RNA, 443 nt
Filed under: uncultured bacterium
Lineage: Bacteria
Description: bacterial SSU rRNA
Rfam family: Bacterial small subunit ribosomal RNA
Source: RNAcentral
CGAACGCUGGCGGCACGCCUAACACAUGCAAGUCGAACGAAGCAUAGCAGCUUGCUGUUAUGACUGAGUGGCAAACGGGUGAGUAACGCGUGGGUAUCUACCUAUGAGAGGGGGAUAACUUUGGGAAACCAAAGCUAAUACCGCAUAAGCCCUGAGGGGGAAAGGAGCAAUCCGCUGAUAGAUGAGCCCGCGUUAGAUUAGGUAGUUGGUAGGGUAAAGGCCUACCAAGCCUAUGAUCUAUAGCUGGUCUGAGAGGAUGGUCAGCCACACUGGGACUGAGACACGGCCCAGACUCCUACGGGAGGCAGCAGUGGGGAAUAUUGGACAAUGGGGGAAACCCUGAUCCAGCGAUGCCGCGUGAGUGAAGAAGGCCUUAGGGUUGUAAAACUCUUUCAGUAGGGAAGAUGAUGACGGUACCUACAGAAGAAGCACCGGCUAACUCC